CUGCUGAGAGCAGAUAAAUUUCAGCCUAUUAUGGGAACACCCUAGAAGUUUGUAUAGAAAGGAAACUCUCUGUUUCCUGUAUCAUCCUUCUGGGGAUCUUGAAAGAGUUCACAAAAGCCACUUAAGCAAACUUUCUUUGCUGGAUAACGGAAGGAAAGGAAGCUGUGAACAAGCAAACAACACUCAAUUCCAUGAGACAAGAGAUACUGGUUCUUUACAUACUAAUUUUCCAUCCCGUUGCCAACGAGUGCCAAUCCAACUUGCUUUUCCAUCACCCAGGAUCAGCUAAAAGCUGAGAAUUAACAACUCCAGAGUGUAAAUAACAUGAGGAAAUACAGUGGAGAAAUAUCUGGACACGUCUGGACAUGUCUGGACAUUGCCAGAACGGGUCUAAAAUGUCAGGCUGAGGACUUGUAACAGAGUCUCUCUGUUAGAUUCAAGAUUCAUCUUGCUUUUUAAUAGAUGUGUACAGUUCUUCCAUUUUGCCUUCUGUGGUUUUCCUUUUCUGAAGUCUGGUAUGCUUUGCGGUUUAUUUAUUCAUGAGUUGUAGAAAAAGAAGU
This is a long non-coding RNA of Pyrgilauda ruficollis (rufous-necked snowfinch), 560 nucleotides long. RefSeq lists it as uncharacterized. The transcript has 4 exons. The record is from RefSeq and is a predicted model, not a curated record. NCBI's taxonomy places the organism in Eukaryota, Metazoa, Chordata, Aves, Passeriformes, Passeridae.